RNAcentral lists this ribosomal RNA (253 nucleotides) under uncultured bacterium. RNAcentral describes it as "partial 16S ribosomal RNA". It matches the Rfam family "Bacterial small subunit ribosomal RNA", at positions 524 to 776 of the family's 1533-position model. The record is from RNAcentral.
UACGGAGGGUGCGAGCGUUAAUCGGAAUUACUGGGCGUAAAGGGUGCGUAGGCGGUUAAUUAUGUCAGAUGUGAAAGCCAGUGGCUCAACCACUGAACUGCAUUUGAAACUGAUUAACUAGAAUAUGAUAGAGGGAAGUGGAAUUUCCAGUGUAGCGGUGAAAUGCAUAGAUAUUGUGAGGAACACCGGUUGCGAAGGCGGCUUUCUGGCCUAUUUCUGACGCUGAGGUGCGAAAGCGUGGGGAGCGAACGGG